GCCGACGUGGCGGAAUGGCAGACGCACGGGACUUAAAAUCCUGCGAGCGCAAGCUCAUGUGGGUUCGACUCCCACCGUCGGCA
This 83-nucleotide transfer RNA is filed under the name Chloroflexota bacterium. Its description in RNAcentral is "tRNA-Leu". It matches the Rfam family "tRNA". From Rfam's summary of the family: Transfer RNA (tRNA) molecules are approximately 80 nucleotides in length. Their secondary structure includes four short double-helical elements and three loops (D, anti-codon, and T loops). Further hydrogen bonds mediate the characteristic L-shaped molecular structure. tRNAs have two regions of fundamental functional importance: the anti-codon, which is responsible for specific mRNA codon recognition, and the 3' end, to which the tRNAs corresponding amino acid is attached (by aminoacyl-tRNA synthetases). tRNAs cope with the degeneracy of the genetic code in two manners: having more than one tRNA (with a specific anti-codon) for a particular amino acid; and 'wobble' base-pairing, i.e. permitting non-standard base-pairing at the 3rd anti-codon position. The record is from RNAcentral. Lineage: Bacteria; Bacillati; Chloroflexota.